CUACGGGCGGCUCCAGUGGGGAAUAUUGCACAAUGGAGGAAACUCUGAUGCAGCAACGCCGCGUGGAGGAUGACACUUUUCGGAGCGUAAACUCCUUUUAUAUAGGAAGAAGAUGACGGUACUAUAUGAAUAAGCGCCGGCUAACUCCGUGCCAGCAGCCGCGGUAAUACGGAGGGCGCAAGCGUUACUCGGAAUCACUGGGCGUAAAGAGCGUGUAGGCGGAUUAAAAAGUCAGAAGUGAAAUCCUAUAGCUUAACUAUAGAACUGCUUCUGAAACUCUUAAUCUAGAAUAUGGGAGAGGUAGAUGGAAUUUCUGGUGUAGGGGUAAAAUCCGUAGAGAUCAGAAGGAAUACCGAUUGCGAAGGCGAUCUACUAGAACAUUAUUGACGCUGAGACGCGAGAGCGUGGGGAGCAAACCGGAUUAGAUACCCCGGUAGUU
RNAcentral lists this ribosomal RNA (439 nucleotides) under uncultured bacterium. RNAcentral's name for it is "partial 16S ribosomal RNA". It matches the Rfam family "Bacterial small subunit ribosomal RNA", at positions 339 to 795 of the family's 1533-position model. The record is from RNAcentral.